UGAGCCCCGACGCGGCGGCCGCGGCGUUCGGUGGGGACCGGGAGAGGGGACACAAACGGGAACCGCGCGGGGAAACAGCACCGGGACGCGGGGGGAUGCGGCACCCGCCACGCUCCGCUCCCUUCCUCUGCCACAGCCUCCGACAGCCUCAUAGAACACUAUUCCCCCCGCUGCCUCAACUUCCCCAGGGCAGCAGGAGCGGCAGGAGCAGCCCGCACCGCGCUCCAGUCAGCGGGGGACAGCAGGGCCUGAAGCGCGCAUCGGGAAGAGGAGGAGGAGGAGAAGGAGGAGAGGCCAAAGGCUUCUGCAGGCAGCCAUGGGCCGCCGGAAGCCCGAGGAGGAGAGGGGGGGGGAGGAGAGGCCGGAUCCGGAUACCCCACAGAGCUAUUUUCAUGGGGUUGACAGAUCUGUCCAUCCACCCGUCCGUCCGUCCAUCCCUCUGUCCGUCCAUCCCUCUGUCCGUCCAUCCACCCAUCCCAGCUCCAGGGAAGCAGCGCACCCCAGAUGUGGAACGGCACCCCACGGAGCGGGGAGAGGACACGAGCACCCCCAGCCCACCCCCAGCCCCUUACUUGGCUCCGGCGCUCAGGGCACGACUCUUCCUCAGCACAGCCGCCAGCAUCGUCCGGGCACGGGGAUGGGGAUGGGGAUGGGGCCCGUCCUGCCCCCCGUCACCCCCCAGCUCCGGGCCACCCCCACGUCCCCAACUUCCUCCGCCAGUUCCCACCGCGGGGAGAGCGCACGACAAAGAGGAAGCGGGGAGAGACGGGGACGGUGACAUCAGCCCCCACCACAUGGCCACGCGGUCCCUGCGCACCCCGGGGGGCAGGAAGGCGGGACACGGCCAUGUGGGACGUGACACGAGUGGCAGAGCCCCGCGUGGGCUCAGCGUCACCUCCGUGCCUUGGUGUUAUUAAUGCCACUGCGCCGCGGGUCCCACCUGAAGCAGUCGGCGUGCCAGUCGGCGUUCAGCGCCUGCAGGUACUGCCCAUCGAAGAUGCCCUGGCCGCAGCUCGCACACACGGGCAGGUCGGUCCCUUCCUCCUCUCCCAUGGGCUCGUCCCUCCAGGUGCAGCACAGCAGCAUCAACCUCAUGCAGCCGCGCUGCCCGGCACCGCGCCAGGCCCUGCCGCCGCCGCUGCCGCCCCGGGCCCUGCCCUGCCCUGCCCCGCCGCUGCGGUGCGGCUCCGGCUGCGGCUCCGGCGGGCACGGGCGGGCGGCGGGCGGGGACGGGCCGGGGGCGCAGGGCGCCGGCGCG
This 1258-nucleotide long non-coding RNA is filed under the name Gallus gallus (chicken). The record is from RNAcentral. Lineage: Eukaryota; Metazoa; Chordata; Aves; Galliformes; Phasianidae.